This 207-nucleotide ribosomal RNA is filed under the name uncultured bacterium. RNAcentral describes it as "partial 16S ribosomal RNA". It matches the Rfam family "Bacterial small subunit ribosomal RNA", at positions 568 to 774 of the family's 1533-position model. The record is from RNAcentral.
CACGCAGGCGGCCAGUCAAGUCUGACGUGAAAGCUCCUGGCUUAACUGGGAGAGGUCGUUGGAAACUGGUUGGCUUGAGGCAAUGAGAGGGGUACGGAAUUCCAGGUGUAGUGGUGGAAUGCGUAGAUAUCUGGAGGAACAUCAGUGGCGAAAGCGGUACCCUGGCAUUGACCUGACGCUCAUGUGCGAAAGCGCGGGGAGCGAACG